AGAGACAAUGAAAGAAAUGGAGUGAGAAAAGAUACAGGUCAUGAGCAAGGAAGGGGGAGGGAGGAAAGGAAGGAAGGUAGAGUAGAGGGCAGAGAGAUCUAAAGAGAAGUCAGUUAAAAAUAAAGGUGGAUGGAUGUAUGAAAACUAGGUAGGUAGGUAAACAAGAUUUUAUAAGGAGGGCCUGGUACAAAAGAUAAUAUUAAAAGAUAACGAGAGAGAGUGAAGGGAAAAAGGUUUAAAAGUGGAACCAGUAAAGAAAGGAGUAUAAGAAGAAUAGAG
Molecule: non-coding RNA, 279 nt
Organism: Ceratotherium simum simum (southern white rhinoceros)
Lineage: Eukaryota; Metazoa; Chordata; Mammalia; Perissodactyla; Rhinocerotidae
Source: RefSeq, a predicted model, not a curated record